GGAUAACUACGGAAAAGCUGUAGCUAAUACUUGCUUUAGCACUCUUGAUUAAGUUCUUGAGUGUGUACUUGUUAAGCCUUUUAAGAAAAAAGUUAUUAACUUAAGGAAUUAUAACAAAGAAGCAACACGUAAAUGGAUUUUCCAUUUUUUAGUGUGUAUCAAUCGAGUUUCUGACCUAUCAGCUUUUGAUGUUAGGGUAUUGGCCUAACAUGGCUAUGACGGGUAACGGGGAAUUAGAGUUCGAUUCCGGAGAGGGAGCCUGAGAAAUAGCUACCACAUCUAAGGAAGGCAGCAGGCGCGUAAAUUACCCAAUUCUAAAGAAGAGAGGUAGUGACAAGAAAUAACAAUACAAGGCCAAUCUGGCUUUGUAAUUGGAAUGAUGGGAAUUUAAAACCUUCCCAAAACUCAAUUGGAGGGCAAGUCUGGUGCCAGCAGCCGCGGUAAUUCCAGCUCCAAUAGCGUACAUUAAAAUUGUUGCAGUUAAAACGCUCGUAGUUGAAUUUCAAAGAAUCGAUAUUUUAAGUAGCACUUUGUAGAUUAAUCCACAUAACUGAUACUACGUAUCGACUUUGUGCGCAUUUUUCUACUUAUGUGUUCUUUUAAUUAAAAUGAUUCUUUUUAAGAUCUUUCUUUUUUGCUUCGGCAUUUUAGGAGAUCUUGUUACUUUGAGUAAAUUAGAGUGUUCAAAGCAAACAGAUUAUAGCAUCUUUAUGCGUUUGAAUACUACAGCAUGGAAUAACAAAAUUGAACAAGUCAGAAUUUUGUUCUUUUUUCUUAUUUUGGCUUAGUUACGAUUAAUAGGAGUAGCUUGGGGGCAUCUGUAUUCAGAUGUCAGAGGUGAAAUUCUUAGAUUUUCUGGAGACAAACAACUGCGAAAGCAUUUGCCUAAAAUACUUCCAUUAAUCAAGAACGAAAGUUAAGGGAGUGAAGACGAUCAGAUACCGUCGUAAUCUUAACCAUAAACUAUGCCGACUAGGCUUUGGAUGAAAGAUUUUAAAAUAAGAGUUUUUUCUCUGAGGAGUUAAAACUCUUAGAUUGC
Molecule: ribosomal RNA, 1039 nt
Filed under: Plasmodium inui
Lineage: Eukaryota; Apicomplexa; Aconoidasida; Haemosporida; Plasmodiidae
Description: SSU rRNA
Rfam family: Eukaryotic small subunit ribosomal RNA
Source: RNAcentral